This 266-nucleotide ribosomal RNA is filed under the name uncultured prokaryote. RNAcentral describes it as "partial 16S ribosomal RNA". It matches the Rfam family "Bacterial small subunit ribosomal RNA", at positions 524 to 788 of the family's 1533-position model. The record is from RNAcentral.
UACGUAGGUGGCAAGCGUUAUCCGGAAUUAUUGGGCGUAAAGAGCGCGCAGGUGGUUGAUUAAGUCUGAUGUGAAAUCCCACGGCUUAACCGUGGAGGGUCAUUGGAAACUGGUCGACUUGAGUGCAGAAGAGGGAAGUGGAAUUCCAUGUGUAGCGGUGAAAUGCGUAGAGAUAUGGAGGAACACCAGUGGCGAAGGCGGCUUCCUGGUCUGUAACUGACACUGAGGCGCGAAAGCGUGGGGAGCAAACAGGAUUAGAUACCCCU